This 1048-nucleotide ribosomal RNA is filed under the name Rheinheimera sp. AE24. RNAcentral describes it as "bacterial SSU rRNA". It matches the Rfam family "Bacterial small subunit ribosomal RNA", at positions 438 to 1470 of the family's 1533-position model. The record is from RNAcentral. Lineage: Bacteria; Pseudomonadati; Pseudomonadota; Gammaproteobacteria; Chromatiales; Chromatiaceae.
UGGGGGAAAGGGUUUUUGUGUUAAUAGCACCAGCAUUUGGACGUUUACUUGCAGAAGAAGCCCCCGGCUAACUUCGGUGCCGGCAGCCCGCGGUAAUACGGAGGGUGCAAGCGUUAAUCGGAAUUACUGGGCGUAAAGCGCACGCAGGCGGCUUUUUAAGUCGGAUGUGAAAGCCCCGGGCUCAACCUGGGAAUUGCAUUCGAUACUGGAAAGCUAGAGUAUGUGAGAGGGGGGUAGAAUUCCAAGUGUAGCGGUGAAAUGCGUAGAGAUUUGGAGGAAUACCAGUGGCGAAGGCGGCCCCCUGGCACAAUACUGACGCUCAGGUGCGAAAGCGUGGGGAGCAAACAGGAUUAGAUACCCUGGUAGUCCACGCCGUAAACGAUGUCUACUAGAUGUUCGUGGUCUUGUACCGUGAGUAUCGCAGCUAACGCAUUAAGUAGACCGCCUGGGGAGUACGGUCGCAAGAUUAAAACUCAAAUGAAUUGACGGGGGCCCGCACAAGCGGUGGAGCAUGUGGUUUAAUUCGACGCAACGCGAAGAACCUUACCUACUCUUGACAUCUAGGGAAGAUUGUAGAGAUGCGAAUGUGCCUUCGGGAACGGUAAGACAGGUGCUGCAUGGCUGUCGUCAGCUCGUGUUGUGAAAUGUUGGGUUAAGUCCCGCAACGAGCGCAACCCUUAUCCUUAGUUGCCAGCACGUAAUGGUGGGAACUCUAGGGAGACUGCCGGUGAUAAACCGGAGGAAGGUGGGGACGACGUCAAGUCAUCAUGGCCCUUACGAGUAGGGCUACACACGUGCUACAAUGGUACGUACAGAGGGAGGCAAGCUGGCGACAGUGAGCGGAUCUCAUAAAGCGUAUCGUAGUCCGGAUUGGAGUCUGCAACUCGACUCCAUGAAGUCGGAAUCGCUAGUAAUCGUGAAUCAGAAUGUCACGGUGAAUACGUCCCUAGGCCUUGUACACACCCCCCGUCACGCCACGGGAGUGGCAGUAAAAUAAAUCAGUACUCUAAGAAGUCGGAACGACGUAACCCCGUAGAGUUUUCCCCCC